Triticum urartu is the source of this 680-nucleotide non-coding RNA. NCBI's taxonomy places the organism in Eukaryota, Viridiplantae, Streptophyta, Magnoliopsida, Poales, Poaceae. The record is from RefSeq and is a predicted model, not a curated record.
AAUAGAAGAGGAAGAGCGAGCGGGUCAGGUGACGGCCAUGGCCAUGGCGCUCGCAGAUCCGUCGGCCCCGUCGUCGCCGCUGCGCUCGCAGGUUCCGACUCUUCUGAGCUACUGCUGCAAAUGAUAUUUGGUCCCCAUGGCUUCUACGAGGACCAGAAGCGUUUCUUUCAGCAGCCUCUCCUCUCGCCCAACGAAGGCGGAAGAUGCAAGCGGCAGCUCCUCACCUAGCCGUAUGGUGAUGGAUUCAACGGAGAAGAGGAAGCAUGUUCCCUCCAUUGCCUGGCUUGUUUCAGGAAGUAAGUAUGCAAGAUAGCUUCAGGCAAAGUGUACAGAGGCUGCAGCUGAAGCCGGACUUUGAAGGUUGCAAGUUGGUGGAUCAUCAGUUAUUAUCAGGUUUCUGUUGGAACAAUCACUGAAAACGAUGAUAGACUUUGUCUCACAUGUGCCGCUCACUGAUGAGAAGCACACUGAAGUGAGUGGUGCUAGAGAAGGAGUGUCCGAGAAAGUACACCAAUGAUGCCCUGCAAGGUGAGCAGAAGCUAAGGAGAUGCUCCGUGUAGCCCCUAAGAAGCAAAAAGGGAGCAAAAGAACAUGUCCGCUUCAAGGGAGUAGCCGCUGCUAGCAGAUGUGCCAUGAAGAAAUUAUAGUAGAAGGGCGAUGCGAGCUACUGAUUGUUGAAU